GACGAACGCUGGCGGCGUGCUUAACACAUGCAAGUCGAACGGUGAAGCGCCUUCCUUUUUGGUGGGUGUGGAUGAGUGGCGAACGGGUGAGUAACACGUGCGUAACCUGCCCCCUUCUUCUGGAUAACCGCAUGAAAGUGUGGCUAAUACGGGAUAUUCUGGGUCUGUCGCAUGAUGGGUCUGGGAAAGAUAUUGUUUCGGUGGGGGAUGGGCUCGCGGCCUAUCAGCUUGUUGGUGGGGUGAUUGCCUACCCAGGCGGUGACUGGUAGCCGGCCUGAGGGGGAGGCCGGUCCAGAGGGGGAUCGGGACCCGGCCGACUCCCGAAGGCAGGAGACCGGUGGGGAAGGUAGUAGACGGGAGUAAGGCCUAAUGAGGCGACGCGCGGGACGGAUGGGGGCCGUUCGGUUUGUAACCUCUUUCGCCAUGAAAGGAGGCCCGCCUGGUUUUUGGGUGGGGUGACGGUAGCUGGAUAAGAAGCGCCGGCUAACUACGUG
This 494-nucleotide ribosomal RNA is filed under the name uncultured bacterium. RNAcentral describes it as "partial 16S ribosomal RNA". It matches the Rfam family "Bacterial small subunit ribosomal RNA", at positions 28 to 507 of the family's 1533-position model. The record is from RNAcentral.